UGGUAGAAAUGAUGAGUUUCUUGUUGAUACCGCCCCAGUCUGAGAACCAAUGACUGAAUGGUAUCCCCCUCUGAUCACAU
RNAcentral lists this small nucleolar RNA (80 nucleotides) under Cyprinodon variegatus (sheepshead minnow). The record is from RNAcentral. Lineage: Eukaryota; Metazoa; Chordata; Actinopteri; Cyprinodontiformes; Cyprinodontidae.